RNAcentral lists this ribosomal RNA (554 nucleotides) under uncultured bacterium. Its description in RNAcentral is "bacterial SSU rRNA". It matches the Rfam family "Bacterial small subunit ribosomal RNA", at positions 335 to 903 of the family's 1533-position model. The record is from RNAcentral.
ACUCCUACGGGAGGCAGCAGUGGGGAAUUUUCCGCAAUGGGCGCAAGCCUGACGGAGCAAGACCGCGUGAGGGAGGAAGGCUCUUGGGUUGUAAACCUCUUUUAUCAGGGAAGAAGAUCUGACGGUACCUGAUGAAUCAGCAUCGGCUAACUCCGUGCCAGCAGCCGCGGUAAUACGGAGGAUGCAAGCGUUAUCCGGAUUUAUUGGGCGUAAAGCGUCCGCAGGUGGUUUUUCAAGUCUGCUGUUAAAGCGCAGAGCUUAACUCUGUAACGGCGGUGGAAACUGAGAGACUAGAGUAUGGUAGGGGUUGCGGGAAUUCCCAGUGUAGCGGUGAAAUGCGUAGAUAUUGGGAAGAACACCAGCGGCGAAAGCGCGCAACUGGGCCAUUACUGACACUCAUGGACGAAAGCUAGGGGAGCGAAAGGGAUUAGAUACCCCUGUAGUCCUAGCUGUAAACGAUGGGUACUAGGUGUUGACCGUAUCGACCCGGUCAGUGCCGUAGCUAACGCGUUAAGUACCCCGCCUGGGGAGUAUGCACGCAAGUGUGAAACUCA